CAUUAUUGAAUAUUAGAAUUAGAUUGUCGCUGGCUUUAUUGCAUGUGCACAUCUAACUUAUACACACACUUGUGAACCUAUUGUAGAUCGCGAGAUCUAUGUCUUUCAUCAUCACAUAUCAUUGUAUGUCUAUAGAAUGUAAAAAAUAAUAAUACAACUUUCAGCAAUGGAUCUCUUGGUUCUCGCAUCGAUGAAGAACGCAGCGAAUUGCGAUACGUAAUGUGAAUUGCAGAUUUUCAGUGAAUCAUCGAAUCUUUGAACGCACCUUGCGCUCCUUGGUAUUCCGAGGAGCAUGCCUGUUUGAGUGUCAUUUAAUUAUCAACCAUUUAGUCUUUGAUUAGACUUUUUGGAUUGGAUUUGGGAAUUGCUGGCCUCGUCAGCUGUCCUUAAAAGCAUUAGCAAGUGAUUAUGUGCACGGCCUCUAACGUGAUAAUGAUCGUUGUGGGCUGGAAGCGUAUGUUUGCUUUAUUGUAUAUAUACAUUAGUAAUGGAAGCUCAAAGUGAAAGUGGAGUUAUGUGUAAAAGCAUAAUAAAAUGGAAGCUUGAGAGUGAAAGUGAGGAUGUAUAUUAAGUUGUGUAAUAAGCAUUAGUAAUGGAAGCUUUGAGUGAAAGUGAGCUAUGUGCGAAAGCACCAUAGUAAAUGGAAGCUUUGAGUGAAAGUGAGGAUGUGUAAGGCAUAACCCCUUGAAAUUUGACCUCAAAUCAGGUAGGACUACCCGCUGAACUUAAGCAUAUCAAUAAGCGGAGGAAAAGAAACUAACAAGGAUUCCCCUAGUAACUGCGAGUGAAGCGGGAAAAGCUCAAAUUUUGAAUCUGGCAGUCAUGUUAGGCUGUCCGAAU
This 840-nucleotide ribosomal RNA is filed under the name Rossbeevera yunnanensis. RNAcentral's name for it is "eukaryotic LSU rRNA". The stretch from base 156 to 310 matches the Rfam family "5.8S ribosomal RNA". The record is from RNAcentral. Lineage: Eukaryota; Fungi; Basidiomycota; Agaricomycetes; Boletales; Boletaceae.